This 373-nucleotide ribosomal RNA is filed under the name uncultured bacterium. RNAcentral's name for it is "bacterial SSU rRNA". It matches the Rfam family "Bacterial small subunit ribosomal RNA", at positions 523 to 898 of the family's 1533-position model. The record is from RNAcentral.
AUACGUAGGGGGCAAGCGUUGUCCGGAAUCACUGGGCGUAAAGCGCAUGCAGGCGGGAUAUUAAGUCAGGUGUGAAAUCUAUAGGCUCAACCUAUAGCCUGCACCUGAAACUGGUAUUCUUGAGUAUUGGAGAGGAAAGUGGAAUUCCUAGUGUAGCGGUGAAAUGCGUAGAUAUUAGGAGGAACAUCAGUGGCGAAGGCGACUUUCUGGCCAAUUACUGACGCUCAGAUGCGAAAGCGUGGGGAGCAAACAGGAUUAGAUACCCUGGUAGUCCACGCCGUAAACGAUGGGUACUAGGUGUUGGGUGUCAAAGCUCAGUGCCGCAGUUAACACAAUAAGUACCCCGCCUGGGGAGUACGUUCGCAAGAAUGAA